GACCCAGUGUGGCAUAAUGGUUUGAGCGUUGGACUAAACUCCAUAGACCAGGCUUCAAUUCCCAGCUUGGCCA
Phrynosoma platyrhinos (Desert horned lizard) is the source of this 73-nucleotide non-coding RNA. NCBI's taxonomy places the organism in Eukaryota, Metazoa, Chordata, Lepidosauria, Squamata, Phrynosomatidae. The record is from the annotation of a GenBank genome assembly.